GGGGCCCCAGGUGACCUACGGCACGGUGUGAGGGGGCCGUACCUCAUGCAGAGUGUUGGUGGAAUUUGUGUGCGGCUGCAUAGUGUGCGGCCUCCCCACACAGUGCUGGGUUUUUCUAGCCAGA
Molecule: non-coding RNA, 124 nt
Organism: Ornithorhynchus anatinus (platypus)
Lineage: Eukaryota; Metazoa; Chordata; Mammalia; Monotremata; Ornithorhynchidae
Product: microRNA mir-1421p-2
Exons: 1
Source: RefSeq, marked provisional